ACUGAAGAGCCAAGAAGAAUCUGAACAGACAGGACUUGCUGGGUUUAGAUCAUUCCCUUUUUGUCCAAUCACAUUUCAACAUGGUUGUCCAUGCUUCAGUCAUGCCUGUCCAAGAAGUCUUCAUAAAAGGCCCAAGAGGACAGGGUUCAGGGAGUUUUGGAGACCUGAACACAUGGAGGCUGACAGGAAGGUGGGAAGAUCACCUGAGCCUGGAGAGGUGGAGGCUGCUGUCAGUCAAGAUCAUGCCACUGCUCUCCAGCCUGGAUGACAGAAAAACCCUGUCUCAAAAAAAAAAAAAAAGUACUUAAACACUAAAGAAAAUUGGAAAAGAGACAACAGCCCACAAAGCUGCUUAAAUUGGAAAGCAAAUGGGAAAAUGAUGACGAAAUUAGCAGACGGGAGAAAGCUUAGUCCUAAAAGGGAAGUGAGGAAAGCUGAUAAGCAACCUCAUCUAAGCUGCGGAAAGACCCAAAGACAAGGAACUGGCGGCACCAUGUGCCUUUGGACAUGGGGACGUGAGAGUAAAACAUGGACGCUGGUUGAAAAUCUGUUGAAAACGCAGUGGAACUUCAGGAAUUUCUUCCCC
This 586-nucleotide non-coding RNA is filed under the name Pan troglodytes (chimpanzee). Lineage: Eukaryota; Metazoa; Chordata; Mammalia; Primates; Hominidae. The record is from RNAcentral.